GACGAACGCUGGCGGCGUGCUUAACACAUGCAAGUCGAACGGAAAGGCCCUGCUUUUGUGGGGUGCUCGAGUGGCGAACGGGUGAGUAACACGUGAGUAACCUGCCCUUGACUUUGGGAUAACUUCAGGAAACUGGGGCUAAUACCGGAUAGGAGCUCCUGCUGCAUGGUGGGGGUUGGAAAGUUUCGGCGGUUGGGGAUGGACUCGCGGCUUAUCAGCUUGUUGGUGGGGUAGUGGCUUACCAAGGCUUUGACGGGUAGCCGGCCUGAGAGGGUGACCGGCAACAUUGGGACUGAGAUACGGCCAAGACUCCUACGGGAGGCAGCAGUGGGGAAUAUUGCACAAGGGGCGGAAGCCUGAGGCAGCAACGCCGCGUGCGGGAUGACGGCCUUCGGGUUGUAAACCGCUUUCGCCGGUGACGAAGCGUGAGUGACGGUGAUGGGUAAAGAAGCACCGGCUAACUACGUG
RNAcentral lists this ribosomal RNA (468 nucleotides) under uncultured bacterium. Its description in RNAcentral is "partial 16S ribosomal RNA". It matches the Rfam family "Bacterial small subunit ribosomal RNA", at positions 28 to 507 of the family's 1533-position model. The record is from RNAcentral.